GAAAUUAUUAUUGCAGAAGCUGCAUUGUUGCCACUAUCAGAUAACAAAGCGGACGUAGAUAAAAAUUGCGGGAACUGCAUCUUAGUUAUAAAUACACCAACAUGACCUAUUUCGUAAUUCAAAAAUAGGGGAAAAACUGCAGCUGUUGCAAGAAAUGGGUAAUGCACACACCGAUGACGUUAGCGCAUGCGUCACAACUAAACGGAAAUCUGAAACAAUCAAAACAAGUUAUAAUAAAUUUGUUUCUAUUGGGUAACGGUGUCCUAUCAUCCGAAUUAACAGUCUAGGCACCGACAACAAAAUGUUUUUUCAGUUCAGAAAAUACUACCUGAAGCGUUAGCCCCCCUUUCACCAAUUGUGGCUAUAUUUGAUGUGCUCUUCCAAUUCUGCACAAAUCAUCCCUUUCACUUCUACAUUCACAAAUGUUCUACAAUUGAAGACACGCCAAAAAUCAAUACAAUUUUCCAUUUGGGGCUCCAAUUACCAUCAAAUGCUUGAAAAAAAUCAGUCCUCUUGAAAUUUGGAGUUGGAACUAAUUUAAUAAUCUAUAAUAAA
Molecule: long non-coding RNA, 555 nt
Organism: Zophobas morio
Lineage: Eukaryota; Metazoa; Arthropoda; Insecta; Coleoptera; Tenebrionidae
Exons: 2
Source: RefSeq, a predicted model, not a curated record